Molecule: ribosomal RNA, 253 nt
Filed under: uncultured bacterium
Lineage: Bacteria
Description: partial 16S ribosomal RNA
Rfam family: Bacterial small subunit ribosomal RNA
Source: RNAcentral
UACGAAGGGAGCUAGCGUUGUUCGGAAUCACUGGGCGUAAAGCGCACGUAGGCGGAUGUGUCAGUCAGGGGUGAAAUCCCGGGGCUCAACCCCGGAACUGCCUUUGAUACUGGUAGUCUCGAGUCCGGAAGAGGUGAGUGGAAUUCCGAGUGUAGAGGUGAAAUUCGUAGAUAUUCGGAGGAACACCAGUGGCGAAGGCGGCUCACUGGUCCGGUACUGACGCUGAGGCGCGAAAGCUAGGGGAGCAAACGGG